AUUGAACGCUGGCGGCAUGCUUUACACAUGCAAGUCGAACGGUAACAGGCCUUCGGGUGCUGACGAGUGGCGAACGGGUGAGUAAUGCAUCGGAACGUGCCCAGAGGUGGGGGAUAACGCAGCGAAAGCUGUGCUAAUACCGCAUGUGAUCUGAGGAUGAAAGCGGGGGACCAGGCAGCAAUGUUUGGCCUCGCGCCUUUGGAGCGGCCGAUGUCAGAUUAGGUAGUUGGUGGGGUAAAGGCCUACCAAGCCGACGAUCUGUAGCUGGUCUGAGAGGACGACCAGCCACACUGGGACUGAGACACGGCCCAGACUCCUACGGGAGGCAGCAGUGGGGAAUUUUGGACAAUGGGCGCAAGCCUGAUCCAGCAAUGCCGCGUGCGGGAAGAAGGCCUUCGGGUUGUAAACCGCUUUUGUACGGAACGAAAAGGCUCUGGCUAAUACCUGGGGCUGAUGACGGUACCGUAAGAAUAAGCACCGGCUAACUACGCG
Molecule: ribosomal RNA, 492 nt
Filed under: uncultured bacterium
Lineage: Bacteria
Description: partial 16S ribosomal RNA
Rfam family: Bacterial small subunit ribosomal RNA
Source: RNAcentral